This 740-nucleotide ribosomal RNA is filed under the name uncultured Hyphomicrobiales bacterium. RNAcentral describes it as "bacterial SSU rRNA". It matches the Rfam family "Bacterial small subunit ribosomal RNA", at positions 8 to 796 of the family's 1533-position model. The record is from RNAcentral. Lineage: Bacteria; Pseudomonadati; Pseudomonadota; Alphaproteobacteria; Hyphomicrobiales.
AGAGUUUGAUCAUGGCUCAGAACGAACGCUGGCGGCAGGCUUAACACAUGCAAGUCGAACGCACCGCAAGGUGAGUGGCAGACGGGUGAGUAACGCGUGGGAACGUGCCCUUCAGUUCGGGAUAACCCAGGGAAACUUGGGCUAAUACCGGAUACGUGCGAGAGCAGAAAGAUUCAUCGCUGAAGGAUCGGCCCGCGUCUGAUUAGCUAGUUGGUAGGGUAAUGGCCUACCAAGGCGACGAUCAGUAGCUGGUCUGAGAGGAUGAUCAGCCACAUUGGGACUGAGACACGGCCCAAACUCCUACGGGAGGCAGCAGUGGGGAAUAUUGGACAAUGGGCGCAAGCCUGAUCCAGCCAUGCCGCGUGAGUGAUGAAGGCCUUAGGGUUGUAAAGCUCUUUCGUCCGGGACGAUAAUGACGGUACCGGAAGAAGAAGCCCCGGCUAACUUCGUGCCAGCAGCCGCGGUAAUACGAAGGGGGCUAGCGUUGUUCGGAAUCACUGGGCGUAAAGGGCGCGUAGGCGGCCUGAUAAGUCGGGGGUGAAAGCCUGUGGCUCAACCACAGAAUUGCCUUCGAUACUGUCGGGCUUGAGACCGGAAGAGGUAAGUGGAACUGCGAGUGUAGAGGUGAAAUUCGUAGAUAUUCGCAAGAACACCAGUGGCGAAGGCGGCUUACUGGUCCGGUUCUGACGCUGAGGCGCGAAAGCGUGGGGAGCAAACAGGAUUAGAUACCCCCGUAGUCC